UGGCGGACGGGUGAGUAACGCGUGGGUAACCUGCCCCAUGCAGGGGGAUAACGGUUAGAAAUGACUGCUAAUACCGCAUAAGCGCACAGUACCGCAUGGUACGGUGUGAAAAACUCCGGUGGUAUGAGAUGGACCCGCGUCUGAUUAGCUAGUUGGUGGGGUAACGGCCCACCAAGGCGACGAUCAGUAGCCGACCUGAGAGGGUGACCGGCCACAUUGGGACUGAGACACGGCCCAG
RNAcentral lists this ribosomal RNA (238 nucleotides) under uncultured bacterium. RNAcentral describes it as "partial 16S ribosomal RNA". It matches the Rfam family "Bacterial small subunit ribosomal RNA", at positions 96 to 334 of the family's 1533-position model. The record is from RNAcentral.